RNAcentral lists this ribosomal RNA (249 nucleotides) under uncultured bacterium. RNAcentral describes it as "partial 16S ribosomal RNA". It matches the Rfam family "Bacterial small subunit ribosomal RNA", at positions 15 to 253 of the family's 1533-position model. The record is from RNAcentral.
AAUCCUGGCUCAGGAUGAACGCUAGCUACAGGCUUAACACAUGCAAGUCGAGGGGAAACGACAUCGAAAGCUUGCUUUUGAUGGGCGUCGACCGGCGCACGGGUGAGUAACGCGUAUCCAACCUGCCUACCACUUGGGGAUAACCUUGCGAAAGUAAGACUAAUACCCAAUGAUAUCCCACGAAGGCAUCCGAAUGGGAUUAAAGAUUUAUCGGUGAUGGAUGGGGAUGCGUCUGAUUAGCUUGUUGGG